RNAcentral lists this long non-coding RNA (437 nucleotides) under Cavia porcellus (domestic guinea pig). RNAcentral describes it as "lncRNA (ENSCPOG00000036959.1)". The record is from RNAcentral. Lineage: Eukaryota; Metazoa; Chordata; Mammalia; Rodentia; Caviidae.
AAUUUAUUAUUAUAUGUAAUAUGUCCUUAUAUUUUUUUUCUUUUUCUUUAAAGCCCAUUUAGGACCUAAGAGUCAGUUUUCCAUGGAAAAAAACAUUGGACUAGGAGUCAAGAAUAACUAGCUCUUCACUGACUUGGUGUGAAAGUCAUCCUACCUCCCUGGAUCUCAGUUGCCUCAUCUGUAAAAAAGAAGAUAAAAAUUCUUUACCUGUCUGAAGAUAGAUUAUCAGUGCAUCCUGUUUGGGUCCGUCUACUGUUUCACCACAUCCAGCUCAGUCAUAGCUCUGGUCAUAGCUUUCUUACCGAAGAAGUGUGUGAUAAAGGAAAGUAGAAGCCCAUUUUCCUGACCUGAUAUUGGAGAAAAGGUAGGUUAGUCUUCACUUCUUCCCUUUGACUCCCUUACCUUCCAUCUCUUUCUUUUGUAAGAAUAUUUAUGUA